UCCAGUUGAUCCUGCUGGAGGUCACUGCUAUUGGGAUUCGAAUGAGACAUGCAAGUUCAUCUAUUAGGUAAUAGUAGAUUGCGUACGGCUGAGGCAACACAUAGAUAACGUAACGUUAUGAGGAGGAUAUCCUCGGGAAACUGAGGUUAAUACUCCAUAGCAAUAAUUUUUGAAAUAAUUUUAUUGUGAAAGGUUAUUUCUAAUACCGAAAUAAUACGCAUAACGAUCGGUCUAUGCCUGAUUAGACUGUUGGUGAGGUAACGGCUCACCAAAUCUUAGAUCAGUAGGGGCCAUGGAAGUGGUUUCCCCCAGAAGGGUACUGAGACAAGGACCCUAGCACUACGGUGUGCAGCAGUCCCGAAAACUCCACAAUGCGCGAAAGCGUGAUGAGGGAAUCCCAAGUGUUCUUUCCGUUUCGGAAGGAACUUUUGCCACGUUUUGAAAUGGCGUGGCGAAUAAGGGCUGGGCAAGCGGGUGCCAGCAGCCGCGGUAAUACCUGCGGCCCGAGUUGUGACCAUUAUUAUUGAGUCUAAAGCGUUCGUAGCUGGUUUGGAUAGUUUGUGCUUAAAUCUUUUCGUUUAACGGAAAGGCACGGUAUAAAUACUUCUAGACUAGAGGCCGGGAGGGGAGAUGGGAACUUUUCGGGUAGGAGUAAAAUCCUUUAAUCCGAAAAAGACCACCAAUAGCGAAGGCACAUCUCCAGAACGGACCUGACGGUGAGGGACGAAGGCUAGGAGAACAAACCGGAUNNAAAUGCAGUGUGACAGCGAAGGCGUUAAGUAAGCCACUUGGGGAGUAUAAUCGCAAGGUCGAAACUUAAAGGAAUUGGCGGGGGAGCACAAAAACGGGUGAAAUUUGCGGUUUAAUUGGAUUCAACUCCGGGAAUCUUACCAGAAGCGACAGCAAUAUGAAGGUCAGUCUGAAGAACUUACCAAAUGCGCUGAAAGGUGUUGCAUGGCCAUCAUCAGUUAGUAUCUUGAGACGUCCCGUUAAGUCGGGUAACUAACAAGACCCUCUUCUAUAUUUGCUAACAUGCAAUCCGUUGCGAAUGAGCAAAAUAUAGAGACUGCUUUCGAAAGAAAGAGGAAGGUGAGGGCGACGGUAGGUCAGUACGACCCUAAUCCUCUGGGCUACACGCGAAUUGCAAUGGUAAAGGCAAUAGGAUGCCACUCCGAAAGGAGGAGCUAAUCCCCGAAUCUUUACCCUAGUUCGAAUCGAGGUCUGUAACUCGGCCUCGUGAAGGCGGAAUCCGUAGUAACCGCGUUUCAACAAAGCGCGGUGAAUACUUUCCUGCUCCUUGCACACACUGCCCGUCAAACCAAACAAGUUGGAUUUAGAUGAGAUUGUCGUUAUGCGAUAACCGAAUCUAGGUUCAGUGAGUAGGGUUAAGUCGCCACAAGGUAGCCGUAUGGGAACAUGCGGCUG
This 1425-nucleotide ribosomal RNA is filed under the name Candidatus Parvarchaeota archaeon UBA573. RNAcentral's name for it is "bacterial SSU rRNA". It matches the Rfam family "Archaeal small subunit ribosomal RNA". Lineage: Archaea; Nanobdellati; Candidatus Parvarchaeota. The record is from RNAcentral.